GCAAACUUGGUCAUUUAGAGGAAGUAAAAGUCGUAACAAGGUCUCCGUUGGUGAACCAGCGGAGGGAUCAUUACCGAGUUUACAACUCCCAAACCCUAUGUGAACGUUACCAAACCGUUGCCUCGGCGGGGUCACGCCCCGGGCGCGUCGCAGCCCCGGAACCAAGGCGCCCGCCGGAGGGACCAACCAAACCCUUUACUGAAGUCCCCUCGCGGACGUUAUUUACUUUACAGCUCUGAGCAAAUAUUCAAAAAUGAAUCAAAACUUUCAACAACGGAUCUCUUGGUUCUGGCAUCGAUGAAGAACGCAGC
Molecule: unclassified non-coding RNA, 311 nt
Filed under: uncultured fungus
Lineage: Eukaryota; Fungi
Description: partial contains small subunit ribosomal RNA, internal transcribed spacer 1, and 5.8S ribosomal RNA
Rfam family: Eukaryotic small subunit ribosomal RNA (bases 1-73)
Source: RNAcentral